GAGUAUUCGGGUUCCGGGGGGAGUAUGGUCGCAAGGCCGAAACUUAAAGGAAUUGACGUAAGGAUUGACGGACUGAAGGCUCUUUCUCGAUUCCGUGGAAAGUGGUGCAUGGCCGUUUUGGUUGGUGGAUCGAUCCGUCUGGUUAAUUCCGUUAACGAACGAGACCUCGGCACUCCGAAUAGCGCGGCGGACGUCGCGGCCUCCGGGCCGUCUUCCGCACGAGCUUCUUAGAGGGACCGUCCCCCGCCGGGGAAGGAGGUGCGAGGCAACGACAGGUCUGUGAUGCCCUUAGAUGUUCUGGGCCGCACGCGCAUUACACUGACGCGUCCAACGGGUGACUCCCGACCCGAAGGGGCCGGGGAAUCCGCAAGGCGCGUCGUGAUGGGGAUUGAACGUUGCAAUUGUUGUUCACGAACGAGGAAUUCCUAGUAGGCGCGGGGUCAUCAACCCGCGCCGAUUACGUCCCUGCCCUUUGUACACACCGU
RNAcentral lists this ribosomal RNA (485 nucleotides) under uncultured eukaryote. RNAcentral describes it as "bacterial SSU rRNA". It matches the Rfam family "Eukaryotic small subunit ribosomal RNA", at positions 1101 to 1672 of the family's 1831-position model. The record is from RNAcentral.